RNAcentral lists this ribosomal RNA (253 nucleotides) under uncultured bacterium. Its description in RNAcentral is "partial 16S ribosomal RNA". It matches the Rfam family "Bacterial small subunit ribosomal RNA", at positions 524 to 776 of the family's 1533-position model. The record is from RNAcentral.
UACGUAGGGUGCGAGCGUUGUCCGGAAUUAUUGGGCGUAAAGAGCUCGUAGGCGGUUUGUCGCGUCGACUGUGAAAACCCGAGGCUUAACCUCGGGCCUGCAGUCGAUACGGGCAGACUAGAGUUCGGUAGGGGAGACUGGAAUUCCGCGUGUAGCAGUGAAAUGCGUAGAGAUGCGGAGGAACACCGAUGGCGAAGGCAGCCCCCUGGGCCAACACUGACGCUCAGGCACGAAAGCGUGGGGAGCAAACAGG